Musa acuminata AAA Group (dessert banana) is the source of this 99-nucleotide small nuclear RNA. The record is from RefSeq and is a predicted model, not a curated record. NCBI's taxonomy places the organism in Eukaryota, Viridiplantae, Streptophyta, Magnoliopsida, Zingiberales, Musaceae.
UUCCUAGUCAUCUAAGAAACAAAACUUUUUUGGUAAGAAAAUUAGCAUGGCCCCUGCGCAAGGAUGACACGCACAAACUAAGAAACAAAACUCGAUUGC